Molecule: ribosomal RNA, 497 nt
Filed under: uncultured bacterium
Lineage: Bacteria
Description: partial 16S ribosomal RNA
Rfam family: Bacterial small subunit ribosomal RNA
Source: RNAcentral
GAUGAACGCUGGCGGCGUGCCUAAUACAUGCAAGUCGAGCGAACAGACGAGGAGCUUGCUCCUCUGACGUUAGCGGCGGACGGAUGAGUAACACAUGGAUAACCUACCUAUAAGACUGGGAUAACUUCGGGAAACCGGAGCUAAUACCGGAUAAUAUAUUGAACCGCAUGGUUCAAUAGUGAAAGACGGUUUUGCUGUCACUUAUAGAUGGAUCCGCGCCGCAUUAGCUAGUUGGUAAGGUAACGGCUUACCAAGGCAACGAUGCGUAGCCGACCUGAGAGGGGGAGCGGCCACUCAGGAACUGAGAGACGGUACAGACUCCGACGGGAGGCAGCAGUAGGGAAUCGUGCGCAAUGUGCGAAAGCUUGACGGAGCAACGGCGCGCGAGUGAUGAAGGGCCGCGUAUCGGAAGACUGUGUUAUUAUGGAAGACCAAAUGUGUAAGUAACUAUGCACGUCUUGACGGUACCUAAUCAGAAAGCCACGGCUAACUACGUG